This 463-nucleotide ribosomal RNA is filed under the name uncultured bacterium. RNAcentral's name for it is "partial 16S ribosomal RNA". It matches the Rfam family "Bacterial small subunit ribosomal RNA", at positions 28 to 507 of the family's 1533-position model. The record is from RNAcentral.
GAUGAACGCUGACAGAAUGCUUAACACAUGCAAGUCUUUGGCGAAGCUGUGCUUGCACAGCCUAGCCAAGGCGGACGGGUGAGUAACGCGUAAGGAACUUGCCCUGCAGUCAGGGAUAACAGACGGAAACGACUGAUAAGACCUGGUAAAGUCAGGCGGACUCAUGUCCAGCCUGAUGAAAAGAGAUGCUGCAGGAGAGCCUUGCGUCCUAUUAGCUUGUUGGUGGGGUAACGGCCCACCAAGGCGAUGAUAGGUAGCCGGCCUGAGAGGGAGGACGGCCACAAGGGGACUGAGAUACGGCCCUUACUCCUACGGGAGGCAGCAGUGGGGAAUAGUGGACAAUGGGGGCAACCCUGAUCCAGCAAUUCUGUGUGCACGAUGAAGGUUUUCGGAUUGUAAAGUGCUUUCAGCAGGGAAGAAAAAAAUGACGGUACCUGCAGAAGAAGCGACGGCUAAAUACGUG